This 253-nucleotide ribosomal RNA is filed under the name uncultured bacterium. RNAcentral describes it as "partial 16S ribosomal RNA". It matches the Rfam family "Bacterial small subunit ribosomal RNA", at positions 524 to 776 of the family's 1533-position model. The record is from RNAcentral.
GACGUAGGGUGCGAGCGUUGUCCGGAUUUAUUGGGCGUAAAGAGCUCGUAGGCGGCUCGUCGCGUCGGCUGUGAAAACCCGCGGCUUAACUGUGGGCUUGCAGCUGAUACGGGCGGGCUAGAGUUCGGUAGGGGAGACUGGAAUUCCUGGUGUAGCGGUGAAAUGCGCAGAUAUCAGGAGGAACACCGAUGGCGAAGGCAGGUCUCUGGGCAUUAACUGACGCUGAGGAGCGAAAGCAUGGGGAGCGAACAGG